RNAcentral lists this ribosomal RNA (1416 nucleotides) under Aeromonas hydrophila. RNAcentral describes it as "partial 23S ribosomal RNA". It matches the Rfam family "Bacterial large subunit ribosomal RNA", at positions 79 to 1552 of the family's 2925-position model. The record is from RNAcentral. Lineage: Bacteria; Pseudomonadati; Pseudomonadota; Gammaproteobacteria; Aeromonadales; Aeromonadaceae.
UGAGCAGUCGGUAAGAGACAUUACGACUCACGGAUUUCCGAAUGGGGAAACCCACUUAGCAUAAGCUAGGUAUCGCUGCGUGAAUACAUAGCGUAGCGAGGCGAACCGGGAGAACUGAAACAUCUAAGUACCCCGAGGAAAAGAAAUCAACCGAGAUUCCCUCAGUAGCGGCGAGCGAACGGGGAUUAGCCCUUAAGCAUCUUGGAAGUUAGUGGAACGGUCCUGGAAAGGCCGGCGAUACAGGGUGAUAGCCCCGUACACGAAAACAACCUUGAUGUGAAAUCGAGUAGGGCGGGACACGUGACAUCCUGUCUGAAUAUGGGGGGACCAUCCUCCAAGGCUAAAUACUCCUGACUGACCGAUAGUGAACCAGUACCGUGAGGGAAAGGCGAAAAGAACCCCUGUGAGGGGAGUGAAAUAGAACCUGAAACCGUGUACGUACAAGCAGUGGGAGCCCUUCGGGGUGACUGCGUACCUUUUGUAUAAUGGGUCAGCGACUUACAUUUUGUAGCGAGGUUAACCGUAUAGGGGAGCCGUAGGGAAACCGAGUCUUAACUGGGCGUCUAGUUGCAAGGUGUAGACCCGAAACCGGGUGAUCUAGCCAUGGGCAGGUUGAAGGUUGAGUAACAUCAACUGGAGGACCGAACCCACUAACGUUGCAAAGUUAGGGGAUGACCUGUGGCUGGGGGUGAAAGGCCAAUCAAACUCGGAGAUAGCUGGUUCUCCCCGAAAGCUAUUUAGGUAGCGCCUCGGACGAAUACUACUGGGGGUAGAGCACUGUUUGGGCUAGGGGGUCAUCCCGACUUACCAACCCCAUGCAAACUCCGAAUACCAGUAAGUAAUAUCCGGGAGACACACGGCGGGUGCUAACGUCCGUCGUGAAGAGGGAAACAACCCAGACCGCCGGCUAAGGUCCCAAAGUUCUGGUUAAGUGGGAAACGAUGUGGGAAGGCUCAGACAGCUAGGAUGUUGGCUUAGAAGCAGCCAUCAUUUAAAGAAAGCGUAAUAGCUCACUAGUCGAGUCGGCCUGCGCGGAAGAUGUAACGGGGCUCAAACCAGGCACCGAAGCCGCGGAUUCACGCUAAGCGUGAGUGGUAGGGGAGCGUUCUGUAAGUCUGCGAAGGUGUAUCGAGAGGUAUGCUGGAGAUAUCAGAAGUGCGAAUGCUGACGUAAGUAACGAUAAAGGGGGUGAAAAGCCUCCUCGCCGGAAGACCAAGGGUUCCUGUCCAACGUUAAUCGGGGCAGGGUGAGUCGACCCCUAAGGCGAGGCCGAAAGGCGUAGUCGAUGGGAAGCAGGUUAAUAUUCCUGCACGACUUGUAAUUGCGAUGGGGGGACGGAGAAGGCUAGGUGGGCCAGGCGACGGUUGUCCUGGUGAAAGUGCGUAGGUGGUGUUUCUAGGCAAAUCCGGAGACACA